GUUUGCCAAGGCCUGGUGGAGCCUCUGAAAGGUGCUGUGUGCAGCAGCCAGCUCACCUCAAGAGUCAGGGACAGCCACAGGGCGCAGGAGACCACAGAGCGUGGGACAGAGCCGCAGACAGACAUCUGCCAACAACCAGAUGAACGGAGGAAGCAGGUCAAAGGCUCACUCACGCCUUCACAGGCCAGGAGGUUAGUGUCCCUCAGGGAGCUCAGGACUGGCUCUGCCAGGAGGCUGUCAGUCACCUCCAGCCUCAGCUCCAGGCCUUGCCCCACUCAGCUUCAGGAGAAGGACCCUGACUGCACAAGCAGAAGGCACAGACUUGCUGAGGUGGAUCUCCUCACACUGCAUCCCCAUGGGACCAACCAGCCUAUCAGCUGCUGCUCAGUGCCAGGCAACAAACAGCAAGGUCCCUGCCAAAGGGGAUUUCAUGGUUUCACCCGGAAGAUGAACAUGUAAUCUGGAGAUAAGUGUUACUGUAGAACAGUGCCCAGGUCUCCCACAGAAUUACCCAGAAGUUGAAGAAAAACUUCCUGGAGACAACUGCAGCUGAAUCCAUACCUGAAAGAUGAGUAAUGACAUUCCUGGUAAUGACAGGCCUGCUGUGUAUAGUGGGCAGGAGACUGGAACCUACCUGCAGGGGUCUCCAGUAAGGUGAAAAGGAGUCAAAGAACUCAGAUAGGAUAAUCCCAAGUUACCUGAAGCAUCCUUCUAGACAACUUAAGCUGGGAGGUUUUCUCCUCUCUUUCUCUAUGUGUCCAUCCUCCUCUCAUUUUCAAAUGCCUUGAUGCUUAACAAGUGAUAAAUAAUAAAACUUCUCAUGAAUCCAUGUGGUGUCAUUACUCUGGGCCCUUUUCUUUGGCUGGCUUUUCUUUAUGUUCCUGAAUCUGCUUUGGAAUCUCCCAUAACAUCUCCCUCUAGCCCAGGGAAUAUUGACGAUGUCUUUCCAUCUCUAUUCCCACCCCUCAGGUGGCCAGCUUCUGGUUUUCAUUUAUUUUUCAAAUUCAUUCCAGUGAGAAAUGAAUAUGCUUAUAGUCAUGUCAACUAGGUGAACAGAGUGAAGACACCAUGAGAAGUCAAUAGCACUUUACUAAAGCACUCCUCUUACGUAAGCGUCACAACAGUCACGUUAACUGUGUACUUGAACCAAAAAGUGGUUCAUUCACAAGCAGAGCUUAAUCAGUCAGUGCCCCCACACACGGCCUAAAUCCCCUCAGUGAGUAGGAUUGUUCCUCG
This is a long non-coding RNA of Heterocephalus glaber (naked mole-rat), 1236 nucleotides long. The record is from Ensembl. Lineage: Eukaryota; Metazoa; Chordata; Mammalia; Rodentia; Bathyergidae.